CAGCAGCCGCGGUAAUACCGAGGGUGCAAGCGUUAAUCGGAAUUACUGGGCGUAAAGCGCGCGUAGGUGGUUUGUUAAGUUGGAUGUGAAAGCCCCGGGCUCAACCUGGGAACUGCAUCCAAAACUGGCAAGCUAGAGUACGGUAGAUGGUGGUGGAAUUUCCUGUGUAGCGGUGAAAUGCGUAGAUAUAGGAAGGAACACCAGUGGCGAAGGCGACCACCUGGACUGAUACUGACACUGAGGUGCGAAAGCGUGGGGAGCAAACAGGAUUAGAUACCCCUGUAGUCCCUGUCUCUUAUAC
This 301-nucleotide ribosomal RNA is filed under the name uncultured bacterium. RNAcentral describes it as "partial 16S ribosomal RNA". It matches the Rfam family "Bacterial small subunit ribosomal RNA", at positions 509 to 807 of the family's 1533-position model. The record is from RNAcentral.